This 487-nucleotide ribosomal RNA is filed under the name uncultured bacterium. Its description in RNAcentral is "bacterial SSU rRNA". It matches the Rfam family "Bacterial small subunit ribosomal RNA", at positions 501 to 987 of the family's 1533-position model. The record is from RNAcentral.
CUACGUGCCAGCAGCCGCGGUAAUACGUAGGGUGCGAGCGUUAAUCGGAAUUACUGGGCGUAAAGCGAGCGCAGACGGUUACUUAAGCAGGAUGUGAAAUCCCCGGGCUCAACCUGGGAACUGCGUUCUGAACUGGGUGACUAGAGUGUGUCAGAGGGAGGUAGAAUUCCACGUGUAGCAGUGAAAUGCGUAGAGAUGUGGAGGAAUACCGAUGGCGAAGGCAGCCUCCUGGGAUAACACUGACGUUCAUGCUCGAAAGCGUGGGUAGCAAACAGGAUUAGAUACCCUGGUAGUCCACGCCCUAAACGAUGUCAAUUAGCUGUUGGGCAACUUGAUUGCUAGGUAGCGAAGCUAACGCGUGAAAUCGACCGCCUGGGGAGUACGGUCGCAAGAUUAAAACUCAAAGGAAUUGACGGGGACCCGCACAAGCGGUGGAUGAUGUGGAUUAAUUCGAUGCAACGCGAAGAACCUUACCUGGUCUUGACAU